Molecule: unclassified non-coding RNA, 202 nt
Filed under: Hevea brasiliensis (rubber tree)
Lineage: Eukaryota; Viridiplantae; Streptophyta; Magnoliopsida; Malpighiales; Euphorbiaceae
Source: RNAcentral
GAAUGGCCCAGGAAAAAGCGAAAAAUAAGGAAUUGCGCCGGACAAUUAUGGAGCGGCUGUUUGGAGAAGACUCGGAGGACUGAAACGCGGAAACUUGACUUGGUCUUAAAUCACGAACAUGGGAAGAGAGAUUGGAUUUCAUCGAUGAAGAAUGGCUUUCACCGCGGAAGGACAAACUGCGGUACGGAGAGACCGCUACAGC